Molecule: ribosomal RNA, 378 nt
Filed under: Triticum aestivum (bread wheat)
Lineage: Eukaryota; Viridiplantae; Streptophyta; Magnoliopsida; Poales; Poaceae
Description: partial small subunit ribosomal RNA
Source: RNAcentral
AUGGAGGUGAAGGCUCGCUCCUCACUGAGGACGCUUUACGACAGCGGCCUAGAGAGCCCGCUGGCUGGUUCCGACGACGGCCCCGCCAAGCUGCUUCCCUUCCUGGUUCGCGCUCUUGAAGAUGUCGCCCUUGGCCUUGGCCCCACAGCGGAGGCCGAGGCGCGUGUCCUGUCUUCUGCAACACUGACGCGGGUGCUCACCCACAUCUACCUUCGCGAUCCCGACGUCGACCUUGACGGCCUGCUGGAGCCAGUAAGCGGCGAGCGUGCCGCUGCCGCUGCCGAGGCCGUGAAGGGUCGCGCGGAGGUUCUGCUGGGGAAGUUCCGGGCCUUUCGCACCAAGCCGAGGGAAGGCGCUGCCGACCCUGCUGCUCCAUGA